This 317-nucleotide ribosomal RNA is filed under the name uncultured bacterium. RNAcentral describes it as "bacterial SSU rRNA". It matches the Rfam family "Bacterial small subunit ribosomal RNA", at positions 28 to 334 of the family's 1533-position model. The record is from RNAcentral.
GACGAACGCUGGCGGCGUGCCUAAUACAUGCAAGUCGAGCGAACCGACGAGGUGCUUGCACCUUUGACGUUAGCGGCGAACGGGUGAGUAACACGUAAGGAAUCUACCUAUAAGUGGGGGAUAACAUCCGGAAACGGGUGCUAAUACCGCAUAAUAACCGACACCACAUGGUGUAAGUUUGAAAGAUGGCUCUGCUGUCACUUAUAGAUGACCUUGCGGUGCAUUAGCUAGUUGGUGGGGUAAUAGCCUACCAAGGCCAUGAUGCAUAGCCGACCUGAGAGGGUGAUCGGCCACAUUGGGACUGAGACACGGCCCAA